Long non-coding RNA from Manduca sexta (tobacco hornworm), 488 nucleotides. RefSeq lists it as uncharacterized. The record is from RefSeq and is a predicted model, not a curated record. Lineage: Eukaryota; Metazoa; Arthropoda; Insecta; Lepidoptera; Sphingidae. The transcript is spliced from 2 exons.
CCUCAAAACAUUUUUGAGCCAAAUAACUAAUAGAGAUGCACACUACGCACCUGUUAUCAAGCGACGCUCGAUAAGUGCCAGCGCAUACAUAAAUUCCACGUUAUCGGCAUUAGAUAAAACGGGUCGAUCAAUCAACAGCCAACGUCGUACAACGUGAACGCAAAUAUGGACGUGUAGACGCGUCGGCACCGUGUUAUCACGUUCUUUUACAUGAUCUUUGAUAUUUUAUGUUAGUGUGUUUGUAGGUCAGGAAGGGUACAAUUACACAUAUUAUGAAAUGAAUAACACAGCCAAGUGUUAAUGAAAGGUCAGCAUGACAUGUCAGGAUUGGGCAACGUUCGCACGAUCGUUUAACGUACAUUACUCGCGUUUUAAGAUUUCAUUUGUGUAAACAAUUAUGAUGGCUAUUAAAAUCUGAAUGAAAACCGCGAAAUGUGAACUGGUUUUGGAGACUGUGAGUCAUAAUAAACUUUUUGGUAAUUAUUUUA